GACUUAAGCUCAACAAUCAUCUUGUACGAAUUCCACUCGCCAAGUUGGAAUUUACACUCAUUUCUCACUUUCCAGAUACUCCAAAUAACUCCAGACCACACACUAAGUAGGAAACGUUUUUCUUUCUUACAACCAAGAUUGAUGAAGGCGUUAAAGUGGUUUUUUACCUUGCACGGCAGAACCGUUUGCUUGCCAAGCCAAGCCACGACCUCGCUCCACAGUUGAUAUACCUUAUCACAGCUCAAAAACAGGUGGUCUGCCGUCUCGAUCGUCGCCUUGCAGAAAACACAUAAAGCCUCCUGAUGUUGGAUGUUCACCUUCCUUUUCAAAAGAUUUUCACACGUAGCCAUUCGUCCUCUAAUAGCUUUCCACGCUGUAGUGAUCACUUUUGGUGGUGCCGGGGCUUUCCAGAUGAUAGCAAGUUCCAGAUCACUCCCCCUGAUAGAAUUUCGGCCAUCCGCUGCACUUAUAGUUUUGUAGGCGGAUUUGACUGUAAAUGAGUCAUCUUUUGAGGCCUUCCAUCUCCAUUUAUCAGCUUUCCCCUCACAAAUUCGGACGUGUUUGAUAAUAUUGACUAGACGCUGCACCUGCUCCUUCUCUCUUCUAAAGCUCCCGGUUCCAACUGAAACUCCACACCCACUCUCCCUCCUUCCACUCCCCCAUGCUCGAGAUUGAUCCAUUCUGGUUGCUGCUAAGACGAUAGAGUCUUGGGAAUUGAUCGGAGAGUCUACUUUCUCCAAUCCACAGGUGGUUCCAAAAGAUAAAGCCUGCCCCGUCUCCAACUUGAAUUUCCAUAUUCUCCCUGAGCCAUUUCCCGUUCGGGCCCCAGCUCAAACUAAGAACCUUUCUCCACCACCCAGUUUUAGAAUCGACACUCCCCUCCAUACGAAAACCCCCGUCAUCCCAACAGAUUUCCCCAUGGUUACUCCUAAUCACUCGCGCCCAAAGUGACUCUUUUUCCAUUAGAAACCGCCAAAGCCAUUUAGCCAAAAGUGCCGAAUUGAACCAUCCCAAAUUUUUAAGACCAAGUCCCCCUUCCCCGUGCUCCCAACACAGGUCCUCCCAUUUGACCCAACAAAUCUUCUUAGUCGCUUCUCCUCCCCCCCAAAGAAACUUGCACAUCAGCGAUCUAAUUGCUGUUAACACAUUUUUUCGNCUGCUCCUUCUCUCUUUCUAAAAGCUCCCGGUUCCAACUGAAACUCCACUCCCCCAUGCUCGAGAUUGAUCCAUUCUGGUUGCUGCUAAGACGAUAGAGUCUUGGGAAUUGAUCGGAGAGUCUACUUUCUCCAAUCCACAGGUGGUUCCAAAAGAUAAAGCCUGCCCCGUCUCCAACUUGAAUUUCCAUAUUCUCCCUGAGCCAUUUCCCGUUCGGGCCCCAGCUCAAACUAAGAACCUUUCUCCACCACCCAGUUUUAGAAUCGACACUCCCCUCCAUACGAAAACCCCCGUCAUCCCAACAGAUUUCCCCAUGGUUACUCCUAAUCACUCGCGCCCAAAGUGACUCUUUUU
This 1509-nucleotide long non-coding RNA is filed under the name Salvia miltiorrhiza (redroot sage). Its description in RNAcentral is "long non-coding RNA (SMIL_LNC005864)". The record is from RNAcentral. Lineage: Eukaryota; Viridiplantae; Streptophyta; Magnoliopsida; Lamiales; Lamiaceae.